GCGUGGCUGUGCUGACUUCAGAGAGGAAUUGUUGGUGGCUUAGCAACAGCUGCACACACAGCUUCCAUAGGGAAUGGAGUGAAAAUCCUAUGGGGAUCUAUCCAUUGCCUGAUGUUCCAGAGUUUCCAAGGCCCUGGGGGAUUUCCACCUUACCCUGUAAAUCCUCUCUGACUGACUGCUGAAUUGGACAUGGCAACAAGAAUGCAGGCCUGAAUCACAUUAUGUUCCAGGAACCUUUAACUUUGCAUCAUAAUGACCUGCGGCCUAACAGAAGCAAAUUGCAAGUGGUUUCAAAAGGAUAAACUCUAAUUUAUAUUAAGCUAGUAUUAUAACUUAAGCAGCUCGUUUUGAAAGCAAAACUAAAAACCUCAUCAUUCAUGUGAUGGCCCCUAAAUGCAUCCUUUUACAUUUUACCUGUAAAAUGCUCUGUGUUUGCUGACAGGUUAAGUGUAUACUAUACACAGAGAGCCAACAUUUCUCUUUGUAACACUGCAGCAAUCUUACUUUUAGCAGCAUUCUUAUUAUUUUAAGCUGUCCCCAUUGUCUUCUAAACACCAUAAUUAGAAGCUGAAAAGCUUACAGCAACCAAACCCAAUAAGGUCUCAUUAUGAACAAAAUAUUCUACCGUGGCUCAACAAGUGACCCAAUGUAUUCCAACAAGAUGAAGCCUUCAGCCUUCCUGCCCAAUUAUGGCGUCAGCUUUCAUUUUCCUAGAGAGAAGAGUGGAAAAGAAAACCCGUCUGCUGGAAAGGGUUCAGAGUCUCUCUGAUGGGUGGAGUGGUGUUUUGUAAAUGAGUUGAAUGAGAGAAUCAGUGAGAAGAAAGCUAGAAUAAUUACACAGAUUGACUAAAGAAAAAAGGGGAGGGGAUGAUUUUAGGACCAAAGAAAUUCUUUUCCCCAUCAGAUCACUGACUUUUCCAUUUGGAUGCUUAGUGUCUUUUUCCCUUUGACUCAUCUUCUUGAACUCUGUGCAAAUGCAAAGUCCUAAGAGAGACAGGAUAUUAGGGUGGUACAAAAGUAAUUGCGGUUUUUGCAAUUACUUUUAAUGCCAAAACCGCAGUUACCUUUGCACCAACCUAAUACAUCAAGUAUUAUCAAUCAUUUACACCUGAGUAUAAAUGAACACUUUUACCCCUUUCUCAUAGCAAAAGAAAGCAGAGGGCUAGAGGAGAAAACUUAAAAAAAAAAAUUAGAAAAUCUCUUCUGUUUUCAUGUUUUACCUGGGAUUGUUGUGAAUGUUAGUCCCUUGCUUCACCAUAUUGUCAUGUCUUUUUAUGUUGACUUUAAACUUGGAAGUACUAGGUAAGGGAGAAAUGAAAUGUGUUUUGAUAUCCUAUAGCUUUUUCGGAAAAUACUUUCCCAAAACCAAGUAGACACAAAGCUGCCUGGUUAUGAAGUAUUCUCAUAUAAGUCAAGCAUGUGAAAUGUAGAAAUAAA
RNAcentral lists this long non-coding RNA (1437 nucleotides) under Pan paniscus (pygmy chimpanzee). RNAcentral describes it as "lncRNA (ENSPPAG00000044952.1)". Lineage: Eukaryota; Metazoa; Chordata; Mammalia; Primates; Hominidae. The record is from RNAcentral.